Molecule: transfer RNA, 69 nt
Filed under: Mus musculus (house mouse)
Lineage: Eukaryota; Metazoa; Chordata; Mammalia; Rodentia; Muridae
Rfam family: tRNA
About the family: Transfer RNA (tRNA) molecules are approximately 80 nucleotides in length. Their secondary structure includes four short double-helical elements and three loops (D, anti-codon, and T loops). Further hydrogen bonds mediate the characteristic L-shaped molecular structure. tRNAs have two regions of fundamental functional importance: the anti-codon, which is responsible for specific mRNA codon recognition, and the 3' end, to which the tRNAs corresponding amino acid is attached (by aminoacyl-tRNA synthetases). tRNAs cope with the degeneracy of the genetic code in two manners: having more than one tRNA (with a specific anti-codon) for a particular amino acid; and 'wobble' base-pairing, i.e. permitting non-standard base-pairing at the 3rd anti-codon position.
Source: Rfam by way of RNAcentral
GGUGAUAUAGCUCAGUGGUAGAGCUCCUAUGCCAUCUUCAAAGCCCUGGUUCUAUCCCUAGCAUCACCA